GACGAACGCUGGCGGCGUGCUUAACACAUGCAAGUCGAACGGAAAGGCCCUUCGGUUGUGGUCUGCUGGAGUGGGGAACGGGUGAGGAAGACGAGAGUAACCUGGCCUUGACUUUGGUAUAAGAUCACGAAGCUAAGGCUAAUAUCGGACCGCAUCCCCCGUGGGAGGGUGGGCAUUGGAAAUUCGCUGCGGGUGGGGAUGGACGCGCGGCUUAUCGGCUUGUUGGUGGGGGAGUGGCAUACCAAGGCUGGGGCGGGUAGCCGGCCGGAGAGGGUGACCGGCCACAAUGGGACUGAGAUACGGCCCAGACUCCUACGGGAGGCAGCAGUGGGGAAUAUUGCACAAUGGGCGGAAGCCUGAUGCAGCGACGCCGCGUGCGGGAUGACGGCCUUCGGGUUGUAAACCGCUUUCGGCUGUGACGAAGCGGGAGUGACGGUACUGGGAGAAGAAGCACCGGCUAACUACGUG
This 468-nucleotide ribosomal RNA is filed under the name uncultured bacterium. RNAcentral describes it as "partial 16S ribosomal RNA". It matches the Rfam family "Bacterial small subunit ribosomal RNA", at positions 28 to 507 of the family's 1533-position model. The record is from RNAcentral.